UCCAUUAUGGCAGAUUAGUGCAAUGAAUUUAAGAUUCAUUUAUAAAUAUAUUAUUUUUUUGGAA
Molecule: transfer RNA, 64 nt
Filed under: Balclutha sp. EMHAU-2015-Zz052711
Lineage: Eukaryota; Metazoa; Arthropoda; Insecta; Hemiptera; Cicadellidae
Description: tRNA-Leu
Source: RNAcentral